GAAAGCUGAUGCAGCGACGCCGCGUGAGGGAUGACGGCCUUUCGGGUUGUAAACCUCUUUCAGUAGGGAAGAAGCGAAAGUGACGGUACCUGCAGAAGAAGCACCGGCUAACUACGUGCCAGCAGCCGCGGUAAUACGUAGGGUGCGAGCGUUAUCCGGAAUUAUUGGGCGUAAAGAGCUCGUAGGCGGUUUGUCGCGUCUGUCGUGAAAGUCCGGGGCUUAACCCCGGAUCUGCGGUGGGUACGGGCAGACUAGAGUGCAGUAGGGGAGACUGGAAUUCCUGGUGUAGCGGUGGAAUGCGCAGAUAUCAGGAGGAACACCGAUGGCGAAGGCAGGUCUCUGGGCUGUAACUGACGCUGAGGAGCGAAAGCAUGGGGAGCGAACAGGAUUAGAUACCCUGGUAGUCCAUGCCGUAAACGUUGGGCACUAGGUGUGGGGACCAUUCCACGGUUUCCGCGCCGCAGCUAACGCAUUAAGUGCCCCGCCUGGGGAGUACGGCCGCAAGGCUAAAACUCAAAGGAAUUGACGGGGGCCCGCACAAGCGGCGGAGCAUGCGGAUUAAUUCGAUGCAACGCGAAGAACCUUACCAAGGCUUGACAUGUUCUCGAUCGCCGUAGAGAUACGGUUUCCCCUUUGGGGCGGGUUCACAGGUGGUGCAUGGUUGUCGUCAGCUCGUGUCGUGAGAUGUUGGGUUAAGUCCCGCAACGAGCGCAACCCUCGUUCCAUGUUGCCAGCACGUAAUGGUGGGGACUCAUGGAAGACUGCCGGGGUCAACUCGGAGGAAGGUGAGGACGACGUCAAAUCAUCAUGCCCCUUAUGUCUUGGGCUUCACGCAUGCUACAAUGGCCGGUACAAUGGGUUGCGAUACUGUGAGGUGGAGCUAAUCCCAAAAAGCCGGUCUCAGUUCGGAUUGGGGUCUGCAACUCGACCCCAUGAAGUCGGAGUCGCUAGUAAUCGCAGAUCAGCAAC
This 969-nucleotide ribosomal RNA is filed under the name bacterium RK14_tank. RNAcentral describes it as "bacterial SSU rRNA". It matches the Rfam family "Bacterial small subunit ribosomal RNA", at positions 378 to 1356 of the family's 1533-position model. The record is from RNAcentral.